This 2091-nucleotide long non-coding RNA is filed under the name Mytilus galloprovincialis (Mediterranean mussel). The record is from RNAcentral. Lineage: Eukaryota; Metazoa; Mollusca; Bivalvia; Mytilida; Mytilidae.
AGACACCUGUAAUUACACAUGGGUUAUCUUGGAAUGACUAUGAAGAGUACAUUGAUAUUUUCCCUUAUAUCCUUAGCAUCGGUUUCUUAUGCAGGUAUGUAAAUUAAUAAUGCAAGAUGUUUAGAUUGUAUGAUUUACUUUCAUCAAAUACAGAGCAUUACUCCUGUUUGAGUUGUUUUUAAUACAUUUCUUGUCUGCUAAACGUCUAUCGAAACUGCUGAUUGAAUUGAAUAUUGAAACCCUUUAACAGUAUUUUGUAAAAGUUUGGAAAGUGGUUAACAUGUAAAAAAUAUAUCCUUUUUCGUGACGUAUUUAAAUAUUCGAAAAUUCCAUUUAGGAAAUCAAAUGAUGCACAUCGAAUCCUAAUAUAUGAAUGAAUAUAAAGAUCUGACAAUCAAAGUGAUCAAAACCGUUGAUUGGAAGACUGAAGCGUUGUAUUCAUAAUUUCAAAACAGAUUCUCAGGUAUCAUGAUGAAUAAAAACAUCAUUGAUUUAUCACUCUUGUCUUAAUUCAGAAAGAUAAUUGUUUUUUCAGUUGAUAAAACCAGCUAGUCACCCUAAAUUUAGGGAUAAAUGGUUCGGAGAUGCAAUAGUUUUUAAUAGCAUCCUUUUUUCUAAAUAAAAUAAUUUAGACAUGAUUGGAAAUAGAAAUCUUUAAAAGAAGGAAAGUAUUUUUUCUUUUAAUUAUGAAUAACGGCAACGAUAGUAUACUGCUGAUCAAAAGUCAGAAAUCAAUUGAAAGAAAUCAAAUCCUGGUUCAACCAAAACCGACGGAAACACAUCAAAUAUAAGAGGAAAUCAACGAAACAACAGAAACACUAAAGUGCAACAUAAAACCAAACGACAAUAUAAAAGAUACCUGGGGGACAGUCAAACUCAUAGAUAGAAAAUAAACUGACAACGCCAUGGCUAAAAAUAAAAAGACAAACAAACAAAUAACAGUACAGAAAACAAAACAUAGAAAACUAAAGACUAAGCAACACGAACCCCGCAUAAAACUGGGGUGAUCUCAGGUGCUCCGGAAGGGUAAGCAGACACACAGAAACGAACUAUAAGAUAACAACUGCAUAUAAGGUUGGCUUAUAAUUUCCAGAGAGAGGCAUCAAACAAAAAGAAUUAAAAAAACUAAUUAUUAUUUGUACUGUUGUUAAAUCUACAUAAAAUAAAAACCUGUCACUCAAAUAUAAAUGUACAAAUACACUUUUGAAUAGCAAGAUAAUGGAGAAUAAACAAAUAAAUCUGAUUGCAGAAUACUAGCAAGUUAGAGUUAUGCAGUUUUGUUUAUUGUUUCAAAAGAUCUAUCUAAGAAGCAUAUACCUUAGCAUAGAUCCAGCAGGGAAGAUUACAAAAAUGCAAACUGAUAUUUAAACAAGUUUUCUUAAUUAAAGACAACCAUGCGCUGUACAACGAACUUUAAUUGCUUUUAUGUCGCUUUGUGUCUGGUUGAUAAUCGUCUCAUAGUCAAUCAAAACCACAUCUUCUUAUUCGUAUAAUGGUUACUUUGAUAUAAUGGUAAUGUAUUAAACGCAUUUGAUCUCAUUAAAGACAACCGGAGUGUAGCAAGUCGAAAUUUUCCGUGACGUUUUCUAUGUCAACAACUAAUAUUUUUCCAAACUUAAGAAAGUGUAGUCGGCUCUUAGCAGAAUGUCUGCAAUAUUAUACAUUACAAUAUUAUAUAUUCAAGAUUUUUGCUAUUGCACUUACAUUUGCCUUAUCCAAAUUUGUCAAUAUACGCGAAUUAUUAACAACUGUGAUACAAGUGGAAGGUUGAGCCAGAUAUAACAUCAGGUUAAACCCACAAUUGCGUAAAAUGCUUAUCAAGUCAGGAAGAUAACCCCAGCAGUUGUUUUGCUGGUAAAAUAAAAUCUAACUUUUGAAUUUAUCAGUUUUUGUGACUUUCCCCUUUUUGAAUUUACCAUGAAAUUCCUUUGUCAUUUAUUAUACUUGUUUAAAUUCACAUGUUCCUUACAGAAAAUCUAUGUUGUUCUUACCCGUGUGAAAAUGGUGGAGUGUGUCUAACAAAGGGAUUUAAUGAUUAUGAGUGUGAUUGUACCAGUACUGACUUCUAUGGAAGAUAUUGUGAAGUCCGUA